RNAcentral lists this ribosomal RNA (253 nucleotides) under uncultured bacterium. RNAcentral describes it as "partial 16S ribosomal RNA". It matches the Rfam family "Bacterial small subunit ribosomal RNA", at positions 524 to 776 of the family's 1533-position model. The record is from RNAcentral.
UACGGGGGGAGCAAGCGUUGUUCGGAUUUACUGGGCGUAAAGGGCGCGUAGGCGGCGCGGGAAGGCGGCGGUGAAAGUCCGGGGCUCAACCCCGGAUCGGCCGUGGCGACUCCCGCGCUGGAGCACAGUAGAGGCGGGUGGAAUUCCGGGUGUAGCGGUGGAAUGCGUAGAGAUCCGGAAGAACACCGGUGGCGAAGGCGGCCCGCUGGGCUGUGGCUGACGCUGAGGCGCGACAGCGUGGGGAGCAAACAGG